AUGCCAUCCUCCCAGAACGGGAGGAGAGGCGUGUCACGCAUGGUGCGGCCAAGUGAUCGGCGACGUGCAACGAUGGCGGUUCGGGUGGCAGCCCCGUCUCCGGCGGCACUAGUCUUUGCACUUGCGGUUGUGCUCGCCGUGGUGAGUGCCGACGGCGACUCCGGCCAUGCAAGCUUCCGCGAGGCGUCGAGGGUUUCGGUGGUAGGUUGCGUGUGCGUGCCGUCCACGGUGUCACUGGAAGGCUGCGCAUGCCCGCCAACACCGCCACCGCCACCGCCACCUCCCGCAUGCCCGCCACCGCCUCCAUCUCCACCACCGCCGUGCCCGCCGCCACCUCCCGCAUGCCCGCCACCGCCUCCAUCUCCACCACCGCCGUGCCCGCCGCCACCUCCGGCGUGCCCGCCGUCGCCACCUCCGGAGCCGACGCCGUGGGAUUUCGAAAACGAGAAGUUGAGGCGGCUGUACCCGGUGAUCCAGGCGUUCAAGCAGACCAUCACGAGCGACCCGAUGAACGUGACGGCGACGUGGGUGGGCAGCAAGAUCUGCGACAGCUCUAAAGGCGGCAGCUCGUACAAGGGCUUCUACUGCGACACCCCGCCGGACGACGCCAACAAGACGCUCACCGUGGCCUCCAUCGACUUCAACGGCUUCCACCUCUGCGCGCCCACGCUGGCCGGCUUCAUCGACGCCUUCCCGGACCUCGCACUCUUCCACGCCAACUCCAACAACUUCUCCGGCGUCCUCCCGGACCUCACCUCCCUCCGCUACUUCUACGAGCUCGACCUCUCCAACAACGCCUUCUCGGGAGCCUUCCCGGCCGCCGUGCCGCCGCUCGGCCGCCUCGCCUUCCUCGACCUCCGCUUCAACGGCUUCGCCGGGGAGGUGCCGCCCUCCGUCUUCGGCAUCUCCGUCGAGGCGCUCUUCCUCAACAACAACGCCUUCACCGGCGUCAUCCCGGAGAGCACCUUCGGCACCAGCAGGGCCGAGUACAUCGUCGUCGCCAACAACAGGUUCACAGGCCCCAUCCCGCGCACCAUCUUCAACGCCUCCGGCACGCUCUCCGAGAUCCUCUUCCUCAACAACGACCUCUCCGGCUGCCUCCCCUACGAGAUCGGCCUCGUGGAAGGGCUCACGGUGUUCGACGCCGGCGGCAACGAGAUCCGCGGCCCCAUCCCGCUCUCCUUCGGCUGCCUCGCCGACGUCGAGGAGCUCAACCUCGCCCGGAACCAGCUCUACGGCCACGUCCCCGACGUGCUCUGUCUGCUCGCCAAGACGGGGAAGCUCACCAACCUCUCGCUCUCCGACAACUACUUCCACUCCGUGGGGUACCACUGCAUGGAGCUGGUGAGGAGCCGCGUGCUGGACGUCCGGCGGAACUGCAUCCUCGGCUUCCCCGGCCAGCGGCCGCACAUCGAGUGCGCCAUGUUCUACGCCGACCCCACCAAGCACUGCCCCUUCAUCCCGCACAUACCCUGCGACCUCCCGGGGUUCAAGCCGCACGCCACCGCAGCGUUGCCGGCGGGGGAGAGCGCUGUGCAUGGCUACGGCGAGGACGGGAGUGUGGCCCUGGGAAAACUACCGACGUCGGGAUAG
This 1593-nucleotide ribosomal RNA is filed under the name Triticum aestivum (bread wheat). RNAcentral describes it as "partial small subunit ribosomal RNA". The record is from RNAcentral. Lineage: Eukaryota; Viridiplantae; Streptophyta; Magnoliopsida; Poales; Poaceae.